CCAGACUCCUACGGGAGGCAGCAGUGAGGAAUAUUGGUCAAUGGGCGCGAGCCUGAACCAGCCAAGUCGCGUGAGGGAGGACGGCCCUACGGGUUGUAAACCUCUUUUGCCGGGGAGCAACGGGCGUCACGUGUGGCGCCACUGAGAGUACCCGGAGAAAAAGCAUCGGCUAACUCCGUGCCAGCAGCCGCGGUAAUACGGAGGAUGCGAGCGUUAUCCGGAAUCAUUGGGCGUAAAGAGUUCGUAGGUGGCACGUUAAGUCUGGUGUUAAAUGCAGAGGCUCAACCUCUGUUCGGCACUGGAUACUGGCGAGCUUGAAUGCGGUAGAGGUAAAGGGAAUUCCUGGUGUAGCGGUGAAAUGCGUAGAUAUCAGGAGGAACAUCGGUGGCGUAAGCGCUUUACUGGGCCGUAAUUGACACUGAGGAACGAAAGCCAGGGUAGCAAAUGGGAUUAGAUACCCCAGUAUG
Molecule: ribosomal RNA, 467 nt
Filed under: uncultured bacterium
Lineage: Bacteria
Description: partial 16S ribosomal RNA
Rfam family: Bacterial small subunit ribosomal RNA
Source: RNAcentral